Molecule: ribosomal RNA, 253 nt
Filed under: uncultured bacterium
Lineage: Bacteria
Description: partial 16S ribosomal RNA
Rfam family: Bacterial small subunit ribosomal RNA
Source: RNAcentral
UACGGAGGGUGCUAGCGUUGUUCGGAAUUACUGGGCGUAAAGCGCGCGUAGGCGGCUUUGUAAGUUAGAGGUGAAAGCCCGGAGCUCAACUCCGGAAUUGCCUUUAAGACUGCAUCGCUAGAAUCAUGGAGAGGUAAGUGGAAUUCCGAGUGUAGAGGUGAAAUUCGUAGAUAUUCGGAAGAACACCAGUGGCGAAGGCGACUGACUGGACAUGUAUUGACGCUGAGGUGCGAAAGCGUGGGGAGCAAACAGG